Molecule: long non-coding RNA, 692 nt
Filed under: Ananas comosus (pineapple)
Lineage: Eukaryota; Viridiplantae; Streptophyta; Magnoliopsida; Poales; Bromeliaceae
Description: long non-coding RNA (ACOM_LNC009260)
Source: RNAcentral
UGACUCAGCCGAGACUUGCCACACAUUUUCGGCUGGUGAUUGGCUCUGUCGGAGUCUGUAUGACAAGGUGAGCGGCUAUGCUAGGUCUGAAUGACAAGGCUAGCGAGACGAGUCUCACAUCGCCUGGUGAUCUUGGGCUGUGUGUGUGACUGGACUGACGAGAACGUCAGGGCCUUAACGGGGGGAGUCUGUCACACCCCAAUAAUCUCACAUCGGAUACGAAUAGGGAUGUGAUUGGAUAUAUAAGAGACUUAUACACUAGUAAUUAUAACUGGGCUUAAGCAUUUUGGAUCGGUGGUUGGGCCUAACGAGUUAUUGUUGCUAGUGGGCUGAGUCGUUACAUUUGGUAUCAGAGCCAAUUACGUGACGAGUCUCGGCUGAGCCCGGGUCUAGAUAACAAGGCUAGCGAGACGAGUCUCACAUCGUCUGGUGAUCUUGGGCAGUGUAUGUGAUUGGACUCGCGAGGACGUCAGGGCCUUAACGAGAGGAGUCUAUCACACCCCAAUAAUCCCACAUACCCCAAUAAUCUCACAUCGAAUAUGAAUGUGUGAUUGGGUAUAUAAGAGAUGUAGACGCUAGUAAUAAUAACUGGGCUUAAGUAUUUUGGGCUGGUGGUUGGGCCCAACGAGUUAUUGUUGCUAGUGGGCUGGGUCGUUACACGCCCGCCCAUGUGUCACGGGUCGAUCGUUGGG